This 301-nucleotide ribosomal RNA is filed under the name uncultured bacterium. RNAcentral describes it as "partial 16S ribosomal RNA". It matches the Rfam family "Bacterial small subunit ribosomal RNA", at positions 509 to 807 of the family's 1533-position model. The record is from RNAcentral.
CAGCCGCCGCGGUAAUACGUAGGGUGCGAGCGUUAAUCGGAAUUACUGGGCGUAAAGCGGGCGCAGACGGUUACUUAAGCAGGAUGUGAAAUCCCCGGGCUCAACCUGGGAACUGCGUUCUGAACUGGGUAACUAGAGUGUGUCAGAGGGAGGUAGAAUUCCACGUGUAGCAGUGAAAUGCGUAGAGAUGUGGAGGAAUACCGAUGGCGAAGGCAGCCUCCUGGGAUAACACUGACGUUCAUGCCCGAAAGCGUGGGGAGCAAACAGGAUUAGAUACCCCCGUAGUCCCUGUCUCUUAUAC